UUCAUUGUUCUCAUCCUUCCCAUUCUUCUCCUCCUUAAGCUCUCUCUCCUUGUUGAAAUAGAUACAAUCCUCUAAAGUUAAAAUGGGUUGUGUGUGUGCAAAAACAAAUGCUGGAGGUUGGAGAUGCAAAUGUGGAUGACAUAUAUAUAUGAGCGUUUCUCUCUAUAACUUCUGUUGUUCAGAUCGUUGUUCUCACCUGCUAAACCUGCAAUUCUUGGUUCCAAGUUAGAGUUUUCUUUCAACAUAGUUUUUUUAUUAUUUGUUUUGUAUACAUCUUUUUGUCUAUAUUAUGCUCAUUCAACAACAUAUAUCUAGUUAUACAAAUUCUUAACGUGCAAAUAAAUAUAUCUGUAACAUCUAAAGGAGUAUAAACAACAACAACAACAACUCACUUGAUGAUAUUUUCAUGGUGAUUAUAGUUCUUGUUAAGUUACAGAGUAAAUAAAUUUGUGAGUACUCGUGUUCUAGUGGUUUUAACUGUCCGAAUUUAAAAAAACAAAAAGUUUAACGUCCUGAGUAGCUGGUUGAUAAAUUUGUACCCAUUUAAGUCCAAAUUAUUAACUCCAUCCACCAAGUCUGUUAACUUUAAGGGUAUUUUUUAAUUGCAAAUAUGGUACAAAUCAUUAAUGCACAAAAAUAUAAGGUAUAUGUUUUUAAUGUACAAACUUUAAUAUAUAACUAGUAUUAAGCCCCCCAUGCGAGUUGCGGCGAGGGCGUAAAACCGUGCCAAGUAGCACCAAAGCUAUACCAUUGCUUGCCACCAGAAACGCCAUUAAAAUUCGUAAAACAAAAUAAAUGAAAACGAAAAAAAAAAAUAACAUCGAAUGAAAAACAAACGUAAAAUCAUUGAACCACACACGUCUGUUGUGACGUGCUAAUGCAAAGAAAUUUGACCUA
RNAcentral lists this long non-coding RNA (897 nucleotides) under Helianthus annuus (common sunflower). Its description in RNAcentral is "hypothetical non coding rna". The record is from RNAcentral. Lineage: Eukaryota; Viridiplantae; Streptophyta; Magnoliopsida; Asterales; Asteraceae.